This 470-nucleotide ribosomal RNA is filed under the name uncultured bacterium. RNAcentral's name for it is "SSU rRNA". It matches the Rfam family "Bacterial small subunit ribosomal RNA", at positions 26 to 518 of the family's 1533-position model. The record is from RNAcentral.
AGGACGAACGCUGGCGGCGUGCUUAACACAUGCAAGUCGAGCGGAAAGGCCCUUCGGGGUACUCGAGCGGCGAACGGGUGAGUAACACGUGAGUAAUCUGCCCCUAGCUCUGGGAUAGCUCCGGGAAACCGGGAUUAAUACCAGAUACGACCACUUUAGACAUCUUCUGUGGUGGAAAGAACUUCGGCUAGGGAUGAACUCGCGGCCUAUCAGCUUGUUGGUGAGGUAACGGCUCACCAAGGCGACGACGGGUAGCCGGCCUGAGAGGGCGACCGGCCACACUGGGACUGAGACACGGCCCAGACUCCUACGGGAGGCAGCAGUGGGGAAUAUUGCGCAAUGGGCGAAAGCCUGACGCAGCGACGCCGCGUGGGGGAUGAAGGCCUUCGGUUGUAACCCUUUCAGCAGGACGAAGCGAAAGUGACGGUACCUGCAGAAGAAGCGCCGGCUAACUACGUGCCAGCAGCCGC